RNAcentral lists this long non-coding RNA (334 nucleotides) under Androctonus crassicauda. The record is from RNAcentral. Lineage: Eukaryota; Metazoa; Arthropoda; Arachnida; Scorpiones; Buthidae.
AAGGCGUCAGCGGCGGAUGGGGAUCGAUGGCUAGGGUCCGGAUCCCAUGAUAAAUAUUUUCAAGGAAUGGGUUCCGAGAUUCGAACAUGGGUCCUCCAGAGUGGAAAGCCGAAGCGUUUCCACGCAGCCAAUCCGGCCGACAGGGAUUGAAGUUUGGUGGGAUAUUCUGUAUCUUACGGCGGCCAUUUAUAGAGCCCGUCACAUGCUGGCCAAUAUCCAUGAUGGAGUCAACCCGAUGAUUGAAGUAUGAUAUUCAACGAGCCGUGCCUAGCCCCUUCCUUAAAAACUAGAAGUAUGGGAUCCGGAUUUGAAUCCGGAUCCUCCAGAGUGGCAA